This is a long non-coding RNA of Sphaeramia orbicularis (orbiculate cardinalfish), 225 nucleotides long. RefSeq lists it as uncharacterized. Lineage: Eukaryota; Metazoa; Chordata; Actinopteri; Kurtiformes; Apogonidae. The record is from RefSeq and is a predicted model, not a curated record. The transcript is spliced from 3 exons.
UUUAACCUUUGACCUCUAUUAACAGGUGUUUAUGACCUUUGACCUCUAUUAACAGGUGUUUAUGAUCUUUGACCUCUAUUCACAGGUGUUUAUAACCUUUGACCUCUAUUAACAGGUGUUUAUGACCUUUGACCUCUAUUAACAGGUGUUUAUAACCUUUGACCUCUAUUAACAGGUGUUUAUAACCUUUAACCUCUAUUAACAGGUGUUUAUGACCUUUGACCU